RNAcentral lists this long non-coding RNA (984 nucleotides) under Musa acuminata (dwarf banana). RNAcentral's name for it is "long non-coding RNA (MACU_LNC002401)". Lineage: Eukaryota; Viridiplantae; Streptophyta; Magnoliopsida; Zingiberales; Musaceae. The record is from RNAcentral.
AGGAGGAAGAAGAAGAAGAGGUAUCUUUCUUCUUCUAUAUAUGUAUAUAUUUCUUUUCUCUUGUUAGGUGCAAUUAUAUGAACUGGAACACUUGAUGUCUCCCUGUGGGACUUUGCUGCCUUGUUGUGCUAAGAAUUGAGUCUCUUUCCACUUCCUAAUCUGAUGUGAACAGCUCCGGAGCAAAGUGGCAUUCUGGGUUCUGGGAAAGCUUCACGUGGACGCAUCUCUUGUGUUCUAUCACAUAUGCUGCUGCAUUUUGCUCAGAUGAUGACACCUUGCUAUAUUGUCUGACAGGUUCAGAUCUGGUGAAAGAGGAGAAGAAAUUGUUGGUAUGAUCAUCAGGGUAACUUGCUCAACUAAUUGCAUGACUCCAAUAAAUUGCAUGAAAUUGUUGCAAUCAUAUAAAGCUUUCAGCUAGGGUUUCUUAUGUAUAUUUUGUUUUAGAGGUCAACACAGGGUUAAGAUGGUGCACAUAAAAUAUAGGUAUUGUGAUUGAUGGAGACAGACACAAGGGUUGACCAAAAGGAUGACAAUGCAACCUAUAGGUAUUCAGGGAAGUUGAUACCCUAAUGUGGAGUUACUACUGCCUUUGGGUGCUACACAGUUGAGGAUAUGUGGAGACAAUUAAAUGUGGUGACUGUUGUAGCCCUUUGCUUUAAAAGACAGUUCCAACAUCUCAUAGAGCUCAAGGAAUGAGAGACAAGUUUAGUCCUCCUAAAUUGCUGCCAGAUUUGGUAGAUUAGUUUCACUUUAAGACAUUUGACUUGAAAUUAGAGGAUGUUUUGUGUCCAGUGAUAAGUUAUCGAUUAUGAAUGAUCAAUCACAUGAUUGUUAUUGGAUAAUCAUAGUUCAAGUCAUGGAAACAAUUUGUCUUUUCACGGGAAUAGAGAAUAUUAUACUUAUUGGUCUUUUUUAGAUUCUAAGAAUAACAUUAUCAGUAGGGUCUUUUUUGAGCUGAAGUUCUGGAAAUGAUUUUUUUCUUCA